This 258-nucleotide long non-coding RNA is filed under the name Linum usitatissimum (flax). RNAcentral's name for it is "long non-coding RNA (LUSI_LNC000623)". The record is from RNAcentral. Lineage: Eukaryota; Viridiplantae; Streptophyta; Magnoliopsida; Malpighiales; Linaceae.
GUGGCUCAACAGGCGGGGUAGGUGUCUUCGGGGGUUCAACUGGCGGUGUUGGCAUCUUUGGUGGCUCAACGGGUGGUGUCGGCGUCUUGGGUGGCUCAACAGGUGGUGUCGGCGUCUUAGGUGGCUCAACCGGAGGUGUCGGUGUCUUGGGUGGCUCAACUGGUGGUGUUGGUGUCUUCGGUGGCUCAACCGGUGGUGUUGGCGUCUUUGGUGGCUCGACGGGUGGUGUCGGUGUCUUGGGGGGUUCAACCGGCGGUG